This 75-nucleotide transfer RNA is filed under the name Helicobacter sp. 12S02634-8. Its description in RNAcentral is "tRNA-Gly". It matches the Rfam family "tRNA". From Rfam's summary of the family: Transfer RNA (tRNA) molecules are approximately 80 nucleotides in length. RNAcentral also lists the same sequence under 3 other names. The record is from RNAcentral. Lineage: Bacteria; Pseudomonadati; Campylobacterota; Epsilonproteobacteria; Campylobacterales; Helicobacteraceae.
GCGGGAAUAGCUCAGUGGUAGAGCACAACCUUGCCAAGGUUGGGGCCGCGGGUUCGACCCCCGUUUCCCGCUCCA